UACGUAGGUGGCAAGCGUUGUCCGGAUUUACUGGGCGUAAAGGGAGCGUAGGCGGACUUUUAAGUGAGAUGUGAAAUACCCGGGCUCAACCUGGGUGCUGCAUUUCAAACUGGAAGUCUAGAGUGCAGGAGAGGAGAGUGGAAUUCCUAGUGUAGCGGUGAAAUGCGUAGAGAUUAGGAAGAACACCAGUGGCGAAGGCGACUCUCUGGACUGUAACUGACGCUGAGGCUCGAAAGCGUGGGGAGCAAACAGG
RNAcentral lists this ribosomal RNA (253 nucleotides) under Clostridium carnis. Its description in RNAcentral is "partial 16S ribosomal RNA". It matches the Rfam family "Bacterial small subunit ribosomal RNA", at positions 524 to 776 of the family's 1533-position model. The record is from RNAcentral. Lineage: Bacteria; Bacillati; Bacillota; Clostridia; Eubacteriales; Clostridiaceae. RNAcentral also lists the same sequence under 1 other name.